AACGAACGCUGGCGGCAUGCCUAACACAUGCGAGUCGAACGAGACCUUCGGGUCUAGUGGCGCACGGGUGCGUAACGCGUGGGAAUCUGCCCUUGGUUCGGAAUAACAGUUAGAAAUGACUGCUAAUACCGGAUGAUGACGAAAGUCCAAAGAUUUAUCGCCGAGGGAUGAGCCCGCGUAGGAUUAGCUAGUUGGUGAGGUAAAGGCUCACCAAGGCGACGAUCCUUAGCUGGUCUGAGAGGAUGAUCAGCCACACUGGGACUGAGACACGGCCCAGACUCCUACGGGAGGCAGCAGUGGGGAAUAUUGGACAAUGGGCGAAAGCCUGAUCCAGCAAUGCCGCGUGAGUGAUGAAGGCCUUAGGGUCGUAAAGCUCUUUUACCAGGGAUGAUAAUGACAGUACCUGGAGAAUAAGCUCCGGCUAACUCCGUGCCAGCAGCCGCGGUAAU
Molecule: ribosomal RNA, 449 nt
Filed under: uncultured bacterium
Lineage: Bacteria
Description: bacterial SSU rRNA
Rfam family: Bacterial small subunit ribosomal RNA
Source: RNAcentral